GAAAAAAUCUUCUAGGAGCAGCUAACAAGAAUCCUAAUACAGGAGUGUUUAUGGUUGGGUUGAGACACAUUCAGUAGCUGAGUGAUUGACAGCAAGAGGAGCAAGACAUGAGGUUAAUAAUUAUCAAAUAUAUGGCAAUGCUGGACUUUAGCUGAUCAUCGUGCUUCUGGAAAACAACAAAAAUUGAGAUAUCUGUUCACCACUUUGUGUGUCCAAGGACCACCUACUUUUUACAUGUGACAAGAACUACCCACCUCCACUCUUCAGAACAUGCUGAAGAAAAGAGUUGCAAUGAGAAAAUAUAUGGGAACAAAAUACCUAUGCAAUGCAGAAGUCUGCAUAACUGAACCACUCAGAGGAAAAAGUUUCCCUCCCAGGCUGGAGUACAAUGGCGCGACCUCGGCUCACUGCAACUUCCACCUCCCAGUUCAAGCAAUUCUCCCACCUCAGCUUCCUUAGUAGCUGGGAUUACAAGUGCCUGACACCAGGCCAAGCUAUUUUUGUAUUUUUAGUAGAGACGGGGUUUCACCAUUUUGACCAGGCUGGUCUCAAACUCCUGACCUCAGUCCAUCGGUCCACCUCGGCCUCCCAAAGUGCUGGGAUUGCAGGCAUGAGCCACCGCUCCUGGCCUCAAGUUUAAUUCUUAAAUUGCCAUUUCAGGACACCUCCUACAUCUGAGGAAAUAUGCAUUGAUCUUGCAGUACUUUUCUCCUCCAAAUAAAAGUCAGUAUGAUAACAACUACACUAUCAGAAGUGAGUUUAUGGGUAGCGUUAACCACCUUGUUUAUCAUCCAAACUGGGACACUUAUGGUACUUCAUUGCAGCAGGCAUAAAUUGAGACUUUUCCG
RNAcentral lists this long non-coding RNA (848 nucleotides) under Homo sapiens (human). RNAcentral describes it as "HSALNT0294382". Lineage: Eukaryota; Metazoa; Chordata; Mammalia; Primates; Hominidae. The record is from RNAcentral.